UUUGGUGGCGAUAGCGGAGGGGUUCCACACGUGCCCAUCCCGAACACGACCGUUAAGCCCUCCAGCGCCGAUGGUACUUGGACCGCAGGGUCCUGGGAGAGUAGGACGUCGCCAAGC
RNAcentral lists this ribosomal RNA (117 nucleotides) under Paenibacillus polymyxa. The record is from RNAcentral. Lineage: Bacteria; Bacillati; Bacillota; Bacilli; Caryophanales; Paenibacillaceae.